RNAcentral lists this ribosomal RNA (817 nucleotides) under uncultured bacterium. RNAcentral's name for it is "bacterial SSU rRNA". It matches the Rfam family "Bacterial small subunit ribosomal RNA", at positions 97 to 929 of the family's 1533-position model. The record is from RNAcentral.
GGCGAACGGGUGAGGAACACGUGAAGAAUCUGCCCUCCACUUUGGGAUAACACCGGGAAACCGGUGCUAAUACCGAAUAUUGAAACAUAAGUGGCAUCACUGAGUUUUGAAAGAAUUUCGGUGGAGGAUGACUUCGCGGCCUAUCAGCUAGUUGGUGAGGUAAUGGCUCACCAAGGCAACGACGGGUAGCCGGCCUGAGAGGGCGACCGGCCACACUGGGACUGAGACACGGCCCAGACUCCUACGGGAGGCAGCAGUAGGGAAUAUUGGGCAAUGGUCGCAAGACUGACCCAGCCAUGCCGCGUGCAGGAAGACGGCCCUCUGGGUUGUAAACCGCUUUCAGUAGGGAAGAAGCGAAAGUGACGGUACCUACAGAAGAAGCACCGGCUAACUAUGUGCCAGCAGCCGCGGUAAUACGGAGGGUGCAAGCGUUGUCCGGAUUUAUUGGGUUUAAAGGGUGCGUAGGCGGCUGAAUAAGUCAGCGGUGAAAGACUUCGGCUUAACCGGAGCAGUGCCGUUGAUACUGUUUAGCUUGAGUGUUGGAGGGGUACAUGGAAUUGAUGGUGUAGCGGUGAAAUGCAUAGAUACCAUCAGGAACACCGAUAGCGAAGGCAUUGUACUGGCCAACAACUGACGCUGAGGCACGAAAGUGUGGGGAUCGAACAGGAUUAGAUACCCUGGUAGUCCACACCGUAAACGAUGAUUACUCGCUGUUAUGGUGUAUGCUGUAGCGGCCAAGCGAAAGCGUUAAGUAAUCCACCUGGGGAGUACGCCGGCAACGGUGAAACUCAAAGGAAUUGACGGGGGUCCGCACAAG